UGGGAGCUUGCUCCCUGAUGUUAGCGGCGGACGGGUGAGUAACACGUGGGUAACCUGCCUGUAAGACUGGGAUAACUCCGGGAAACCGGGGCUAAUACCGGAUGGUUGUUUGAACCGCAUGGUUCAGACAUAAAAGGUGGCUUCGGCUACCACUUACAGAUGGACCCGCGGCGCAUUAGCUAGUUGGUGAGGUAACGGCUCACCAAGGCGACGAUGCGUAGCCGACCUGAGAGGGUGAUCGGCCACACUGGGACUGAGACACGGCCCAGACUCCUACGGGAGGCAGCAGUAGGGAAUCUUCCGCAAUGGACGAAAGUCUGACGGAGCAACGCCGCGUGAGUGAUGAAGGUUUUCGGAUCGUAAAGCUCUGUUGUUAGGGAAGAACAAGUGCCGUUCAAAUAGGGCGGCACCUUGACGGUACCUAACCAGAAAGCCACGGCUAACUACGUGCCAGCAGCCGCGGUAAUACGUAGGUGGCAAGCGUUGUCCGGAAUUAUUGGGCGUAAAGGGCUCGCAGGCGGUUUCUUAAGUCUGAUGUGAAAGCCCCCGGCUCAACCGGGGAGGGUCAUUGGAAACUGGGGAACUUGAGUGCAGAAGAGGAGAGUGGAAUUCCACGUGUAGCGGUGAAAUGCGUAGAGAUGUGGAGGAACACCAGUGGCGAAGGCGACUCUCUGGUCUGUAACUGACGCUGAGGAGCGAA
This 700-nucleotide ribosomal RNA is filed under the name Bacillus velezensis. RNAcentral's name for it is "bacterial SSU rRNA". It matches the Rfam family "Bacterial small subunit ribosomal RNA", at positions 73 to 757 of the family's 1533-position model. The record is from RNAcentral. Lineage: Bacteria; Bacillati; Bacillota; Bacilli; Caryophanales; Bacillaceae.